UUAGGAAUUUUGCGCAAUGGGCGAAAGCCUGACGCAGCAACGCCGCGUGAGGGAAGACGGCUUUCGGGUUGUAAACCUCUUUUAGCAGGGACGAACACAAUGACGGUACCUGCAGAAAAAGCACCGGCUAACUACGUGCCAGCAGCCGCGGUAAUACGUAGGGUGCAAGCGUUACUCGGAUUUAUUGGGCGUAAAGCGCAUGUAGGCGGUUCGGUAAGUCUGGUGUGAAAGCCCUCGACUCAAUCGAGGAAGUGCAUUGGAUACUGUCGAACUGGAGUACAGGAGGGGUGAGCGGAAUUCCAGGUGUAGAGGUGAAAUUCGUAGAUAUCUGGAGGAACAACAGCGGCGAAGGCGGCUCACUGGACUGUAACUGACGCUCAGAUGCGAUAGUGUGGGGAGCAAACAG
RNAcentral lists this ribosomal RNA (406 nucleotides) under uncultured bacterium. RNAcentral describes it as "bacterial SSU rRNA". It matches the Rfam family "Bacterial small subunit ribosomal RNA", at positions 355 to 775 of the family's 1533-position model. The record is from RNAcentral.